RNAcentral lists this transfer RNA (86 nucleotides) under SAR324 cluster bacterium. RNAcentral's name for it is "tRNA-Leu". It matches the Rfam family "tRNA". Rfam says of the family: Transfer RNA (tRNA) molecules are approximately 80 nucleotides in length. Their secondary structure includes four short double-helical elements and three loops (D, anti-codon, and T loops). Further hydrogen bonds mediate the characteristic L-shaped molecular structure. tRNAs have two regions of fundamental functional importance: the anti-codon, which is responsible for specific mRNA codon recognition, and the 3' end, to which the tRNAs corresponding amino acid is attached (by aminoacyl-tRNA synthetases). tRNAs cope with the degeneracy of the genetic code in two manners: having more than one tRNA (with a specific anti-codon) for a particular amino acid; and 'wobble' base-pairing, i.e. permitting non-standard base-pairing at the 3rd anti-codon position. The record is from RNAcentral. Lineage: Bacteria; Deltaproteobacteria.
GCCGUUGUGGCGGAAUUGGUAGACGCGCUAGGUUCAGGGUCUAGUGUCCAUUGGACGUGGGAGUUCGAGUCUCCCCAACGGCACCA